UAAUUUUUUGUUACUUUUGAAAUGGAAGUGUUAGAAAUUUAAAAUUUGAAAAAUAGAUAAAUAAAUUCAAGAUAACACAAUAGUGCGGUUUGUCCUAAUCAGUACUGAUUGCUUUUCAUACUUUUUAAGAUAUGGUCAAACUUAGAGACUCCAUGCUUGACACAAAAGCAACGCAAAAUCUUCAUGUUUAGGCGAUGUUUGAAGAACUGGAUGGUAUUCACCAAGUAGUUUUUUUGCGUACAAUACUGGGACUUCUCAUCAAUAUAAAAUAUUUAUAUUAUUCGAAUGGGUGGAAUCUCACAUGGGUUUUAAAAACUUUACAAUAAUUCCUUU
RNAcentral lists this long non-coding RNA (333 nucleotides) under Prunus persica (peach). RNAcentral's name for it is "long non-coding RNA (PPER_LNC006578)". The record is from RNAcentral. Lineage: Eukaryota; Viridiplantae; Streptophyta; Magnoliopsida; Rosales; Rosaceae.